UUCUAUGGCCAUGUAACUCUGAACACAGCAGAUUUCAUCUGAUCUCAGACGUGAAGCAGGAUUGGGCCUGGUCAGUACUUGGUACUUGAAUGGGAAAAAGUCAUUUCAAACU
RNAcentral lists this ribosomal RNA (112 nucleotides) under Echinops telfairi (small Madagascar hedgehog). The record is from RNAcentral. Lineage: Eukaryota; Metazoa; Chordata; Mammalia; Afrosoricida; Tenrecidae.